This 720-nucleotide ribosomal RNA is filed under the name Mucor sp. BOT15. RNAcentral describes it as "eukaryotic LSU rRNA". It matches the Rfam family "Eukaryotic large subunit ribosomal RNA", at positions 24 to 653 of the family's 3401-position model. The record is from RNAcentral. Lineage: Eukaryota; Fungi; Mucoromycota; Mucoromycetes; Mucorales; Mucoraceae.
ACCCCGGUUGGACUUAAGCAUAUCAAUAAGCGGAGGCAAUUUAGGUAAUAACAAUGAUUUCCCUAGUAACGGCGAGUGAAGAGGAAAGAGCUCAAAGUUGGAAACUGUUUGGCUUAGCUAAACCGUAUUGUAAACUGUAGAAACAUUUUCCUGGCACACCAGAUUAAUAAGUCCUUUGGAACAAGGCAUCAUGGAGGGUGAGAAUCCCGUCUUUGAUCUGAGUAGUUGUCUUUUGUGAUAUGUUUUCAAAGAGUCAGGUUGUUUGGGAAUGCAGCCUAAAUUGGGUGGUAAAUCUCACCUAAAGCUAAAUAUUGCGAGAGACCGAUAGCGAACAAGUACCGUGAGGGAAAGAUGAAAAGAACUUUGAAAAGAGAGUUAAACAGUAUGUGAAAUUGUUAAAAGGGAACCGUUUGGAGCCAGACUGGUUUGCUUGUAAUCAACCUAGAAUUCGUUUUGGGUGCACUUGCAGGCUAUACCUGCCAACAACAGUUUGAUUUGGAGGAAAAAAUUAAUAGGAAUGUAGCCUCUCGAGGUGUUAUAGCCUAUUAUCAUACUUUGGAUUGGACUGAGGAACGCAGCGAAUGGCUUUAGGGAAGAUUGCUGGGUGGUUUCGCUAAUAAAUGUUAGAAUUUCUGCUUCGGGUGGUGCUAAUGUUUAAAGGAGGAACACAUCUCGUAUAUUUUUAUCGCUUAGGUGUUGGGUAUGGCCUUACAACCCCUG